Molecule: ribosomal RNA, 566 nt
Filed under: Colletotrichum karsti
Lineage: Eukaryota; Fungi; Ascomycota; Sordariomycetes; Glomerellales; Glomerellaceae
Description: eukaryotic LSU rRNA
Rfam family: 5.8S ribosomal RNA (bases 191-344)
Source: RNAcentral
UACUUCUUGGCGAGCGGGUACAUCAUGAGCUCUCAUGAGGCGGAAGAGGUCGAUGAGAAAGGUUGGAUGUCAGCAUUUAAGAAACGUGGGCCCGGAAGGACCCCCGCGGGACCUUAUCAGAACCCGCCGGAGGAUAACCAAACUCUAUUGUAACGACGUUUCUUCUGAGUGGCAUAAGCAAAAUAAUCAAAACUUUUAACAACGGAUCUCUUGGUUCUGGCAUCGAUGAAGAACGCAGCGAAAUGCGAUAAGUAAUGUGAAUUGCAGAAUUCAGUGAAUCAUCGAAUCUUUGAACGCACAUUGCGCCCGCCAGCAUUCUGGCGGGCAUGCCUGUUCGAGCGUCAUUUCAACCCUCAAGAUCUGCUUGAUGUUGGGGCUCUACGGUCGACGUAGGACCUCAAAGGUAGUGGCGGACCCUCCCGGAGCCUCCUUUGCGUAGUAACAUUUCGUCUCGCACUGGGAUCCGGAGGGACUCUUGCCGUAAAACCCCCCAAUUUUCCAAGGUUGACCUCGGAUCAGGUAGGAAUACCCGCUGAACUUAAGCAUAUCAAUAAGCGGAGGAAGUU